This 493-nucleotide ribosomal RNA is filed under the name Phylladiorhynchus joannotae. RNAcentral's name for it is "partial large subunit ribosomal RNA". It matches the Rfam family "Bacterial large subunit ribosomal RNA", at positions 1844 to 2597 of the family's 2925-position model. The record is from RNAcentral. Lineage: Eukaryota; Metazoa; Arthropoda; Malacostraca; Decapoda; Galatheidae.
UAUACAGUCUAGCCUGCCCAGUGAAUAACUUAGAUGGCCGCGGUAUCCUGACCGUGCAAAGGUAGCAUAAUAAUUAGUUUUUUAAUUGAAAGCUUGCAUGAAUGGCUGGACAAAGAAAAAUCUGUUUCUACUUUUUUUUUAAAAUUUUACUUUUAGGUGAAAAGGCCUAAAUAAACUUAAUAGACGAUAAGACCCUAUAAAUCUUUAUAUGAUCUUUUCUUAUGAGUAAUUAUUUGAGUUUAUUUUUUAUAAAAAAAAGAUAUAUUUUGUUGGGGCGACAAGAAUACUAAAACUGUUCUAAUUUUCAAACAAAAAUUUUUGUCUAUAGUAGAUCCUUCACUGAAGAUUAAAAAUUUAAGUUACUUUAGGGAUAACAGCGUAAUUUUUUUUGAGAGUUCAUAUCGACAAAAAAGUUUGCGACCUCGAUGUUGAAUUAAAGUUUCUUUAUAAUGCAGCACUUAUAAAAGUAAGUCUGUUCGACUUUUAAAACUUU